GGGGCCGAACAUGGCUUCGACGGGGAUUUUGAAUCAACAUAAGCGAGUCGUUUUUUGAGACAAAACGUUAAACAGCUCAAAACAAAAUAAAUAACAACAAUAAUAAUUUAGCAUUUGCAGCGUAAAUAGCUGCAUUCGCCAUCUAGGUAACCCAUAGGCCUAGCUCUUGGCGUCAAUUAUAUGGGAAACGAAUCUUUCUAACUUGUCAUAGGAAAGAGGGUAUUUAUGGCAAUAUAGUAGGACGGUCUUGUCUAUUAGACUUUCCUAUUGAAUAAAAAACAAAUAGACUGGACUCGGAGAAAGUGUUGUGGAUGGGUUUUCGGACGUGGGUUCGACUCCCACCGGCUCCACCA
RNAcentral lists this transfer-messenger RNA (353 nucleotides) under Bacillota bacterium. It matches the Rfam family "transfer-messenger RNA". Rfam says of the family: Bacterial tmRNA, also known as 10Sa RNA or SsrA, is named for its dual tRNA and mRNA-like properties. Its role is to liberate the mRNA from a stalled ribosome. Lineage: Bacteria; Bacillati; Bacillota. The record is from RNAcentral.